GCAUCAGCUGUGGGAGGGGUUCUGUUG
RNAcentral lists this non-coding RNA (27 nucleotides) under Cricetulus griseus (Chinese hamster). The record is from RNAcentral. Lineage: Eukaryota; Metazoa; Chordata; Mammalia; Rodentia; Cricetidae.